Molecule: unclassified non-coding RNA, 344 nt
Filed under: soil metagenome
Description: partial contains 5.8S ribosomal RNA, internal transcribed spacer 2, and large subunit ribosomal RNA
Rfam family: 5.8S ribosomal RNA (bases 1-121)
Source: RNAcentral
GAUGAAGAACGUAGCGAAAUGCGAUAAGUAAUGCGAAUUGCAGAAUUUCCGUGAGUCAUCGAAUCUUUGAACGCACAUUGCGCCCACUGGUAUUCCGGUGGGCAUGCCUGUUCGAGCGUCAUUAUCCUCCCUCAAACCCCGGGUUUGGUGUUGGACCCAAGUUGUGUGAACAACUGGUCUCAAAGACAAUGACGGCGUCCGUGGGACCCUCGGUGCAACGAGCUUUUAGGAGCACGCAUCGAGUUGCAAGGACCUUCCGGGCCGGUCUCCUUUACCAUUUUACAAGGUUGACCUCGGAUCAGGUAGGAAUACCCGCUGAACUUAAGCAUAUCAAUAACGGAGGA